Molecule: non-coding RNA, 838 nt
Organism: Chiloscyllium plagiosum (whitespotted bambooshark)
Lineage: Eukaryota; Metazoa; Chordata; Chondrichthyes; Orectolobiformes; Hemiscylliidae
Source: RefSeq, a predicted model, not a curated record
CUCAAUUUCCAGUGUGUUACUCCAGUGAGUUAUAACAUCAACAGAUUAACAGAUAAUCUAUAAUUUAUCCUGAUUUUUCUAUUUACCUUCUAUCAACUCCUUUUCAAUUGUAUUUUUAAAAUGUAAAUUUCUACACAGUCUAUAUAACACAGGAUAUUGAAAGCGUACUGGAGUAAUAGAAUUUCAAUUGAGAUUCCUUUGUGUUGUGAAUGGAAUGAAAACCUGUUGAAAACCCUGCUCAAAUGUGUUACUGAAACAAUAUAACUUGGAUAGUACCAGUCCACAUAUUUGGAUGAAAUUAUGAUGUAUUUUUUGAGAAAUUCUUUCCCUACAGUGUGUUCUCAGUCUUGCCUUCUUAAAUUGUUACAUUGUGGUGCGAAGCCAAACAGAACAAGAUGUUUAGUUAGCUGAUCUUAAAUGGUUGAAGAGGUGAAACACACUGUAGUUGGUAUUAAGUUUCCUGGGCAAAGAAAAAACUUUAGUCAAGGAUCUUACUGUUUAUUGCUGUAGUGGCCUUGCUGAAAAUAUCCAGAUUAUUUUAAUGUUUCAGUUGUUCUUUUGAAAGGGUUUUUGAUCAGUUUUCAUUUAGCAAGACAUGCAAAGAAAAGCUACCAUAGGUUGAAGCAUAUAAAUUAAACCUUUUCUUUUCUGGCCACAUGUGUACUUUUCAUGUUUUGGUGACCAUGAUAAGAUUGUUUUACAUUUUUUUUGUUGUUUUGUUAAAACCAGCUUCUUAUAUUUAAAACCAGAAAGCACCAUCCAUUGAAGGCCAGAAAAAAUUAGGAGUGUGAGAGAGGAUUGGGAUCCCAAAGUUGCUUAAGGAAAUUUGCUGAAUGAA